GACGAACGCUGGCGGCGUGCCUAAUACAUGCAAGUUGAGCGCUGAAGGUUGGUACUUGUCCCAACUGGCUGAGCAGCGCACGGGUGAGUAACGCGUGGGGAAUCUGCCUUUGAGCGGGGGACAACAUUUGGAAACGAAUGCUAAUACCGCAUAAAAACUUUAAACACAAGUUUUAAGUUUGAAAGAUGCAAUUGCAUCACUCAAAGAUGAUCCCGCGUUGUAUUAGCUAGUUGGUGAGGUAAAGGCUCACCAAGGCGAUGAUACAUAGCCGACCUGAGAGGGUGAUCGGCCACAUUGGGACUGAGACACGGCCCAAACGCCUACGGGAGGCAGCAGUAGGGAAUCUUCGGCAAUGGACGAAAGUCUGACCGAGCAACGCCGCGUGAGUGAAGAAGGUUUUCGGAUCGGAAAACUCUGUUGGUAGAGAAGAACGUUGGUGAGAGUGGAAAGCUCAUCAAGUGACGGUAACUACCCAGAAAGGGACGGCUAACUACGUG
This 497-nucleotide ribosomal RNA is filed under the name uncultured bacterium. RNAcentral describes it as "partial 16S ribosomal RNA". It matches the Rfam family "Bacterial small subunit ribosomal RNA", at positions 28 to 507 of the family's 1533-position model. The record is from RNAcentral.